This 392-nucleotide ribosomal RNA is filed under the name uncultured bacterium. RNAcentral describes it as "bacterial SSU rRNA". It matches the Rfam family "Bacterial small subunit ribosomal RNA", at positions 524 to 916 of the family's 1533-position model. The record is from RNAcentral.
GACAGAGGUGGCAAGCGGUGUUCGGAAUUACUGGGCUUAAAGGGCGCGUAGGCGGUGAGAUAAGUCUGAGGUGAAAUCCUAUGGCUUAACCAUAGAAUUGCCUUGGAAACUGUCUUACUUGAGUCAGCGAGGGGAUGGUGGAAUUCCCGGUGUAGCAGUGAAAUGCGUAGAUAUCGGGAGGAAGGCCGGUGGCGAAGGCGGCCAUCUGGUGCUGAACUGACGCUGAUGCGCGAAAGCGUGGGUAGCAAACAGGAUUAGAUACCCUGGUAGUCCACGCCCUAAACGGUGGGCAUUAGGUGUAGGGCUCGUAAGGGUUCUGUGCCGCAGUGAAAACAUUAAAUGCCCCGCCUGGGUAGUACGGCCGCAAGGUUGAAACUUAAAUGAAUUGACGG